Myotis davidii is the source of this 76-nucleotide non-coding RNA. NCBI's taxonomy places the organism in Eukaryota, Metazoa, Chordata, Mammalia, Chiroptera, Vespertilionidae. The record is from Rfam.
GGCAGUUCUUGGGUGACGCACCCUGGAAUCGGGCUCCCUCCUCUCUGGUUCUGGGGUGUGUCACUGGAGAACCGCC